UGGGGAAUAUUGCACAAUGGAGGGAACUCUGAUGCAGCGACGCCGCGUGAACGAAGAAGGCCUUCGAGUCGUAAAGUUCUUUUAUAUGGGAAGAUAAUGACGGUACCAUAAGAAAAAGCCCCGGCUAACUACGUGCCAGCAGCCGCGGUAAUACGUAGGGGGCUAGCGUUGUCCGGAAUCACUGGGCGUAAAGGGUUCGCAGGCGGAAAUGCAAGUCAGAUGUAAAAGGCAGUAGCUUAACUACUGUAAGCAUUUGAAACUGCAUAUCUUGAGAAGAGUAGAGGUAAGUGGAAUUUUUAGUGUAGCGGUGAAAUGCGUAGAUAUUAAAAAGAAUACCGGUGGCGAAGGCGACUUACUGGGCUCAUUCUGACGCUGAGGAACGAAAGCGUGGGUAGCAAACAGG
RNAcentral lists this ribosomal RNA (403 nucleotides) under Fusobacteriota bacterium. Its description in RNAcentral is "Fusobacteria bacterium partial 16S ribosomal RNA". It matches the Rfam family "Bacterial small subunit ribosomal RNA", at positions 355 to 776 of the family's 1533-position model. The record is from RNAcentral. Lineage: Bacteria; Fusobacteriati; Fusobacteriota.